CACUCCAGCCUGGGUGACAGGGCGAGACCCCAUCUCGAAAAAACAAACAAACAAAAAGAGGCUAUAUGCCAAGCAUUAGGCAUAUUUAUAAUAGCAUAUUGAUAAACAACAGCACAAAUAAUAAAAUGAAUAGAUAUUACCAGCUUAAUAUUUGACUUAGCAAGGAAGAGGCCAGGAAUAAUUAGAAGUUUCAGCUCUACAAAGCCAAUUUUGCUUACUCUUGUCUGUAGACAUUGUCUUUUUCCUAAGAAGACUGAGUUUGUUAACUAAGUUUAUUAAUUCUGUUCAUAUCAAUUUUAAAUUUAUCAAAAAGUAGCUACUGGGUCAAAGUCUUGAUAUUGAAAAACUGGAUUAUGAUCUGUUUUCCAAGUUGAUUUUAACUAAGCGAUUUGACUAACUCUUGUCUCCAUCUUCACAGCAAAACAGAGCGUGACACUCCCAAUCAUCUGCAUGCUGGAAAUGAGGAAAUGGUUAUUGAAUGAUACAAGUGCUUUUCGAUCAUUUAGAAAGUUCUGUUUCCCAAGAUCUUUUUUUUUUUUUUUUUUUUUGAGACGGUGUCUUGCUCUGUCACCCAGGCUGGAGUGCAGUGGCGCGAUCUCGGCUCACCACAACCUCCACCUCCUGGGUUCAAGCGAUUCUCCUGCCUCAGCCUCCCGCGUGGCUGAGACUACAGGCAUGGUGGUGCAUCCCUGUAAUCCCAGCUACUCGGCACCUGAGGCACAAGAAUUGCUUGAACCCGGGAGGCAGAGGUUGCGGUGAGCUGAGAUCCUGCCAUUGUACUCCAGCGUGGGCAACAAGAAUGAAACUCUGUCUCAAAAAAAUAAAUAAAUAAAAAUAAGUAUUAACACA
Molecule: long non-coding RNA, 849 nt
Filed under: Homo sapiens (human)
Lineage: Eukaryota; Metazoa; Chordata; Mammalia; Primates; Hominidae
Description: mir-99a-let-7c cluster host gene
Source: RNAcentral